AAAAUGAUUCCUUGAAUUGGCAAUCGCUUCAAUGUAGUACUCCCUCCGUCCCGCAAUAAGUGACUCAAAAAUGACUCAACUUUGUACUCCUUCCUUCAAUUGGAGUAUAUGUUUUCUUUUCUCAUAGGAAAGGAGAGUGCUUUAAUUUUUUACAGAACAAAAUUGAGAUUGAUUUAUUCUUUAGUUAAAAUUGGUGCCACGAAUAUGUUUCAUGGAAUCUGAGAAUUGUUCCAAACGUAUCGAUAAAGUACUUCCAAUAUAGUAAAAAUUGGCAGUCUAAGGAUUUUGCAUUGAACCUCUUUUAAAAUGGUGAUGAAAGACCACACAUGUUGAAGAUAAGUUUGGCCUUAAUCUAAUCGAGAAACAACUGUUUUUCAUACCAGACAAGCAACUACUCCUCUCCGAGUCAAUGUGCCACACCAUUCACUCACCGGUGUAAUCCAUACACAUGUUCAGUACCUUUUGAAUUUUAUGCUCCCGCUUCUCCAUGUGUCAACCCCUUUGUUCCUUGUUGACCCUAGCUUGUCUUGAUGCAACAUCAAGCAACAACAAAAUAUUACACCUGAUACGACAUCAAGCUAUACAGGAACUAUUAGACCACCCAAAUUAUUGAAGCUUCAGAAUUUGUGUCUGGGUCCAUGCCUAAUAAACUGGAAGAAAACCAAAAGAUACUUAUUGAUAUGAAUCAACUUGGUUAAGUAUGGUCAAAUACAAUGCACGGUGGAAUAUCUGCCCUGGAAAACAAAAGAAAAGGAGAUGGAAGAAAUCAUGCACUCAAUGGGUGGCUGUAAGUUCACGGGUAUCAAGACUUGGCUCACAUAUCAUUGAUCAUGGGUCUGUGUCAAUAUGGCUCCGGUGCCCAGUUUAUCACGGUGUUUUGUUAUUAUUUCCGAGAUAGUACUUUCUAUUAUAGUGUUGAGAUAAGCAAUUUAGAUGUUUUAAAUAUUCCCAGCUCUUUGGAUAAGAAGUAUUUCAGUAACUGAAUAAUCUUUGACCGUCCAAAAGAACUACCAUGUUUCUUUGGGAAUAACAGCAGAACAAAAAAAUCGAGAAUCAUGGCUGACCUAUGAGGCGCAGAUGUUGCCGAGGACCUAUAACCAUGCCUCCUCUCCUUUGCGCAACCUUGAAACCACGAGUAAUUACCUGGCAUUAUUUCAUUAUCUCAGCUGGUUUUAUGACUUCGAACAUAUGAGAGUACUCUAACAUGUAAAAUAAUUCUUUCUCAGGUUCCAAAUAAGUCAACAGUAGGUCAAAAAUAGAGGUGAAACAUUGCCAGGCAGGCAGACACACAACAACAGCCGAUGAUUAUAGCUUAAGGUCCAAUGAGGAUAAUAUAAGUAGUGGAAAACGGAAUUUUGUAUCCACAUCCCUAUUGAUCAAGGAGUAAGUCAACAUGAUACAAGGAACGUACAACAACACACCCGAGACAAUAUAAUUACAACACUGCAGAAAAAUUAGAGAUCCAUGUAAUCAAAUAUCUCUUUGUUAAAUUUUAGCUGAACAACUUAACUUAUAGAGUGUCGAUGGUUCAGAUCUUUUUCCUUUUAAUUAACAUGUGAGUUAUUAUAAAGUGGGUAAUUUCUUUUUGCGGUAUAUAAAGUGGGUAACUCAUAUAGACUAAGACAUGGAAAAAGGGUGUAGGUGGUGCAAAUUCAUAGCAAGUUUUAUAUUGGAUGCACACAAACAACUGUGUGGACACACAAAAAGAAAACAAUCACUUUGAAAGUUUGAAUAGAAAUGUCUAAAUGAACAUCAGAUGGUCUAGUAUCUCCACUGAGAGCACUACAUGGACCCCUCAUUAACAAUUUAGCAAUGAACAAACAAUUCUAGUAUUUAGACAUGAGAAUACCUUGUACAGAAUUUCAAAGCCAUAAAAAACGUUACCACUGGUUUGGGUAUCCUGGAAAUAGAACAGAGGUAAUAAAUUCCUUAUAACUAAUCAGGUGAACAUAGAAAAUUGAUUACCUCUGGUUUGAUCCCAUGUGCUCUAGCCAAAAAUAGAUCAAAUCAGCAGGAUAUCCUAUAAGGAAACAAAUCUAGCAAGGAAACUGAUUAUUAUUAUAUCUAAUUUCCAGCUACCAGUGGUAGGCGCAAAGUGGAACACUAUUACGUAGGACAACAAAUUUGGGCAGGAGGAUGUAUAAUGGUUAUGAAUGCCAGGCAAAGUGUAUUAAGUUCAUAACUAUGAGCAUGCAAAUAAUUUAUAUGAAGGGUCCCUUUUCUUCUGCAUAAGUGAGACAUACUGUAUGUAUGUGUAAUGUGUCAACCUGUACACAAAUACAAAAUAUAUAUUACAACGGAAAAUGCGUGAAUAUGAUGAUGAAUAUCUUAUUCUGAACUCUUUUGCAUCUUGUAUAAUGGACAGGGAUUGAGAUUCUAAUUUCGGCACUACUGGAGAGUAUGUUGUGUGCAAAACGAAACUACAUGCAGUAAUCUACAUGAUUGUUCGUACCAACAGAGAAACAAUUUUGCAUUUAGUAGAUGUGUGUAUGUUUCAGGGUUACUUUCACAAUAUUUAGUUGCUAUAGAAAAAACACUUAAGGCUAGCAAAUAGAAUUAACCUAGUACAUAGAAAGUAGAGAACUGACCGCUGCAGUAAAUUAUGAACUGAUAUCACACAUAAAACAGUAACAUACCCCAAAAUCUAUUCCUCGCAGCUCCCCACAAGUCUUCCUUCGCCCUCUUCUGCUCCACCAACCCCUGUUAUGAUUUCUCUCCCCUUAAAUCAUUCUUCUUACUCUGCAUACCAUCUCUGUCUCCCCAGCCCAAACAUGCUAGUACCGUCAGUAGCGCGUCCGGCACCCCACGAAAGAAAACACAAUACAACCCACACAUGAAUAAUGAUGUAAACAUACGUGAAAUUAUGAACGCUCCAAGAAAAUCAUUCUGUAAAUAACUUGAAUGGUGUGUUGAUAUGCAGAAACAUCUACUUCUUUACAAGACAUUUACUUGUUUGGAUUGCAAAACAAAUAUUGUUGUAGGAAAUGAUCUAUUGGAAACUGGUACAAAACUUCAAACAUCUUUACUGCUGGACAUAGAACAAGCACACAACAUCCUGUAAUUAUUUAGUUGCAGACGUACAUGCAUGACAGCCAACAUAUAUAAAGUCUUGUGAUGAAUUGUGUUCAAUGGUGAAGAAACUUGCAGCGAAAUGUUUCCUAUUAAAUGACCUCCCAAACCCAAUGUUGGUUGGUCCACUCUACUAAGCUGUGCUAUGUCAAUAAUCAAAAGAAAUAUAUGCUUGUUUUACCACUGGCAAUCAUGAAAAGCCUACUGACUUUCGAAUAUAACUUUAUCUGAAGAUUAUGUUAUUUGCCCCGUCGACUUUGUUGCCUAGCUGGACAAUCAGUACUGCAGUUGCCUAGAUCCUACCCUCCUACGGACACUUAUGUUCUAAUCUGGAGAUGAGGUGAGUACAGGGGUCACCCAUGGAUAUAUUGUCUAGACGAUGAGAUAGCACAGGAGAUGAAGCAAUGUGUGUACCUAGACGCCGCACUGGUUGAGGCACUUGAUGGCGAUUGAUAAGCGCCUCCUGUUGCCGAUAAAAGCAAUUGUUCUUGACCUUCGUUUAGGAGAAUAUCCAGAGUCAAUGUGAAAGCAUACGACUACAUUUUCAAUAAAAUGGCUGAGAAAUAUUCAUGUUUUUAUGGAAGCACAACAUGCUCAGGAGGGUAAAACUAUCAAAUUAGAGCAAGGAUAAUUACAGGAAUCCAAUUUAAUAAAACACAUUUGAGAAAUUAAGGAGAUCAUCUCAAUACUGAAUUACGAGGGUGGGUGAUCCUCUAGGAUUCCAGAUCAAUAAACACAACGUGGUGCGUGGUACGUUCCCCCCGACUCAAGGGAAACAGUAGAUUGAUUAGAAAUUCAUUCUUGCUUCCUGUCGCAUUGUCCACCUGUCUUGUUUCCUCGCAGCUCCACCUUCCCCUGCAGCAAUAGCCAGGCCCUAAAACACCGAGCUCCGCUGCAUCUCAGCGGGAUAGAUAGAGAGAUCGGAUUGCAUCUCACAAGCACACUUUAAAACAUGAGUUGAUGGAUGGCAUCCGUAGCCGAACCCUAGUAACAAUUGUGUAUUAUUGAUUGGCACAAUCAGAACCUAACUAACAACCACCUUUCAGUGUCAGUAGAUCUAUAGAUGUUGCAUCCCACUUCACGUCCUAAGAUUGUCUACAAAAACUUCACGUCCAAGUGACAGAAGCACAAAGGCUUCCAUCAACAAAAUAAUUUUUUUCAUAACAAAAUCUCUGCUAUAAAGGAUGCAACUAUGACGAAGAUAUGCCUCUGUGUUUACCUUACAUCAUCAGAAGUUCAAAACUAAUGCUAGAUUUGUUUUUUAUAGAGAGAUGCUAGAUAUGAUAAUACAACAAUAGUAAAUGCCACAUGAUCCAUUUGUGCAACGUGUGCCCUCCAAUUCUUAUUUAAGUGCUGGAAUAAAAAGGGCAAAGCAGUGGGACAUCACCACCCACCCAUUAAAUUUUUUGGAUAUUAACAAUAUGACUUUAAGGGGGAAAAUCCUCACUGAACAGUAAGCUCCCAUUGCUAAUCAAAUAAAAAUAAUUGAUCAAAAUAUGCAGGUUUGGCCCCUAUCCCAAAGCUACUCCCUAAUGUGCCUUAGUGGAAUAUAGUCUGCCGCAAUCAAAAGAUGAAAUAAACAGCAGCGACAUUGCAUUAGGAAGGUUCGUUGCAUACAUACCAGAUGUACUCGGCGACGAACACGGUAGUCUCAAUGGCGAGGGCCAGAACCUUCAACCCAGAUGCUCCUCCCGACGCCCCACACCCUUGCUGCCGCCGACUUCGUGUGGAUGGCUUACUUGUCCUGCACCAUGAAUUGGGCACGACAAAGAUUUUACAUUUAGGAAAAAUUUUUACCAUAAUGUGAAAGCACUGUAAUUAUGUGGCAUAGAAGGACAUUGACUUUAUGCUUGCAGAUUUAUCACCUCUAGCAACGGUUGCCAAAUUGCCACAACGAUAGAGCCCCAACCAGAUUACUGAUCUAUCUUAACUCUCAAGUAUUAACUUAUUAAAUGUAAAAUUCAGAUGCAAGUGCAGUAGAUUUAUCACCUCUAGCAACGGUUGCCAAAUUGCCACAACGAUAGAGCCCCAACCAGAUUACUGAUCUAUCUUAACUCUCAAGUAUUAACUUAUUAAAUGUAAAAUUCAGAUGUAAGUGCAGUAGAUUACUGCAGUUUAGCACUAACUGUACAACCAACAAUUAAGAUUUCAGAGGGCAAGCACUGUAGAAUAGCAUAUGCUACCUUCACAUCGGGUCCAUGAGGUGUCGUGCAGCCACUGUGCGAAACCGACAGGCUCAGCCACGGUAUGGGGCACACUUAUCUUCAAAUCCCGACAAUCAACAUCGUCCCACACUGGAAGAUGCCAAGGCAAUUCUGAACCUGACGCCCUACUGUUCUUUAAUCUCUACAUCCCAAAUCAACUCUGGAUCAACCAAAACAAUAAAAAAACAUUAGUAAGUACUAAAAGGGAAAUUAAUGGCCGAAUUUGGAUAUUUCUGCAUGCAUCAGACAUGCAAAAGUACUGAUUCUAGGCACAUGAAUCGUACAUUUGGAUGCUUGGACGGACUGGUUGCAUCAAAGAUAAUUAAGCUCUCAGUGUUAGCAAGUAUAAUGCUUAAAUACUGGUAGAAUCAUGUUCCUCACGCAUGGUGUUGCAAUAUUGCUUUUGGCGUCUAGCUCAACCAAAACAGCCGAGAUGAGACAACAAGGAAGCGGGUCAGUGUUGUACCUCAAGGAUUUUCCUUCUGAACAAAUUCAGCAAAAUAGAUUACCUGGCAUAUAAUCACCCAGUCGCUCCCAAGGUCCAAAGGCACAGGAGACUGCGACCGGGACCUUCGCAAGAG
RNAcentral lists this long non-coding RNA (5854 nucleotides) under Triticum aestivum (bread wheat). Its description in RNAcentral is "long non-coding RNA (TAES_LNC010301)". The record is from RNAcentral. Lineage: Eukaryota; Viridiplantae; Streptophyta; Magnoliopsida; Poales; Poaceae.